GUAAAUGUUCCAUGAUAAUGGGUUAGGUAAAUGUUUCAUGAUAAUGGGUUAGGUAAAUGUUUCAUGAUAAGAAUAUCAUGUCUUUUGUAUUAAAGAAAUAAAUGGAUGAAAUAUGAAGUUUUAUUAAAAGAAAAAGGGGUGAAAAGAACAAAGUUUUGUCCAUCUUUGUUCAUCAUAGCUGAAAGUUAGAGAAGAGAAAGGAGGGGAGAAAGCUCUUGAGUAUUCGGUCAUUAGGAGGAGGAAAAUUGAAGGCAGUUCGUGUGUGGAUCUCGUCAGCAUAUCGUCACAAACAGGUGUGUAACUAACACCCUCUUUCUUAGUCUGGAUCGGCAAAAGUCGAAAAGUCGAAAUGCCGAAAAUCGGUAUUUUGUAGAUUUGCGAAAAGUGCGAAUGCUCGUGAGGUAAAUCGAUUAAUGUUUUUGGUAAGCUGUAAAAUUUGGACUGCAAAGUGCAUGAUUUCUGUGCCCUCGAUAUUUUUGGGCUUAAUGGGCCAAAAUUGGAAUGAUGGGCCAACGGGCCCAAUUCGGUAAGAACCCUCGGUACGUGAUUCUGUUAGUAC
This is a long non-coding RNA of Gossypium arboreum, 559 nucleotides long. RefSeq lists it as uncharacterized. The transcript has 2 exons. The record is from RefSeq and is a predicted model, not a curated record. NCBI's taxonomy places the organism in Eukaryota, Viridiplantae, Streptophyta, Magnoliopsida, Malvales, Malvaceae.